AUUGAACGCUGGCGGCAGGCCUAACACAUGCCAGUCGAACGGUAACAGGAAGCAGCUUGCUGCUUUGCUGACGAGUGGCGGACGGGUGAGUAAUGUCUGGGAAACUGCCCGAUGGAGGGGGAUAACUACUGGAAACGGUAGCUAAUACCGCAUAACGUCGCAAGACCAAAGAGGGGGACCUUAGGGGCUCUUGCCAUCGGAUGUGCCCAGAUGGGAUUAGCUAGUAGGUGGGGUAACGGCUCACCUAGGCGACGAUCCCUAGCUGGUCUGAGAGGAUGACCAGCCACACUGGAACUGAGACACGGUCCAGACUCCUACGGGAGGCAGCAGUGGGGAAUAUUGCACAAUGGGCGCAAGCCUGAUGCAGCCAUGCCGCGUGUAUGAAGAAGGCCUUCGGGUUGUAAAGUACUUUCAGCGGGGAGGAAGGGAGUAAAGUUAAUACCUUUGCUCAUUGACGUUACCCGCAGAAGAAGCACCGGCUAACUCCGUG
RNAcentral lists this ribosomal RNA (490 nucleotides) under uncultured bacterium. RNAcentral describes it as "partial 16S ribosomal RNA". It matches the Rfam family "Bacterial small subunit ribosomal RNA", at positions 30 to 507 of the family's 1533-position model. The record is from RNAcentral.